Camelina sativa (false flax) is the source of this 1300-nucleotide long non-coding RNA. RefSeq lists it as uncharacterized. NCBI's taxonomy places the organism in Eukaryota, Viridiplantae, Streptophyta, Magnoliopsida, Brassicales, Brassicaceae. The record is from RefSeq and is a predicted model, not a curated record.
UUAUCUCCACUUAAACUGCGAAAACCCUUACUACAAAACAAUGUGAGCGGUUGUUUAGUGUGAUUAUCCUCAUUCUCCGACGCCGUAGUCUUCCAAUUCAAGGUUUGUUUUGUACAUUCGUUCCAAUUUUUUUAUAAUUUGUCUUUGUUGUGUUCUGAAUUUUGUCACAUGGACAAGUUUCCUUUGAUUUUGGUCACAAGCGAUUAAGUUUAGUUUAAUUUGAUUUUGUUUCUGUUGCUCUGGUUUACUUUGACUAGCUUUGGAACAAACACAAAAUCUAAUAUUGUUGUUUUUGUACAUUCUAAUCAUAUAUCUACUGUUGUUUCCAAGAAUGAGUAAUAUGGGAUCGGUUCCAUUUCGUUCUGUGCCUCGACGAAGGAACGCUUCCACCACAUCAAUAGGUAGCCAAGGAGUUAAUUCUUCUGCAGCAUCAGCUGCUCCUGCUGCCCCAGCUAAACUUCCACAAUUGAGCUUGAAUGAAAUUAUGUCAUCUCCCUCUCGUCGUCUCAAGCCUCGUUUACAUCCAGAUAGACCAUAGCGACCUAAGGAUGUUUGGUUUGGUCUUGAUGAUUGUGUUAGGACUGAUAUCAGUUCGAUAUACCAAAAUGAUUUCAAAGGUCCAUGGAGCUGUAUAAGUAAUGUCCCUCCAGAGCAUCAAAAGCAAUGGUGGUCUAGAUUUGCGCAGCGUUAUUUUUGGGAAGAUGAAUACCAUGACGCUGUUGUCAAAUUAUACCGCAAGCAGCUUAAAGACUUGCUAAAAAACCGUAUCAGCAAGGGAAAGCGAGAUGGAGUAAAGCCUGAUUUUGUUAGUGAUGAUGAUUGGAAUCUGUUGGUAGAACGUUGGGACACAGAACCAGCAAUGAAGAAGUCUAAACGGUGUAGUGACACUACAAGAAAACAGGCGGUUAGCGACUACACUAUUAGUCGCUUUGUAGUCGUAAAAACUGAGGUUACGACUAAAUAGUGACUAACACAAGCAAUCGGAGAUCGAGAGUCGCUAAUUAAUGUAGUCGUAUACAUAGUCGUCUUUCAGCGACUACUUUACGACCAAAAGUUAUAGUCGUCAUAUGGUCAUAACCUAGUCCGUUCGUAGUCGUUAAAGUAGUGUCUGUUAUACGACUAUAGUGUGAUUAAUUAGCACAUACAAGUGGUCUUCUUACUUUGUCGGUUUUUAGUCGUAUAAUUGUGGUGAUAAAUUGGCGACUAAGUACUGACUGAGUGUUUAGUAGUCGCUAUAUAGUCACUUGCCUUAGUGACUAUUUGGAAACUACAACACAACUAUUUGGCCACUGAUGUUGAU